GAGAAAUUAGUUAAUUAUUAUAAUAUAGGUUUGUCAAGUCUGUGUAACUGCUUUAGUAGUAUUUCUCU
Molecule: transfer RNA, 68 nt
Filed under: Notocrater youngi
Lineage: Eukaryota; Metazoa; Mollusca; Gastropoda; Lepetellida; Pseudococculinidae
Description: tRNA-Asp
Source: RNAcentral